CUACGUAGGGGGCGAGCGUUGUCCGGAAUUACUGGGCGUAAAGGGCGCGUAGGCGGUCUAAUAAGUCAGAUGUGAAAUUCUUGGGCUUAACUCAGGAUGUGCAUUUGAAACUGUUGGACUUGAGGACAGGAGAGGAAAGCGGAAUUCCCAGUGUAGCGGUGAAAUGCGUAGAUAUUGGGAGGAACACCAGUGGCGAAGGCGGCUUUCUGGACUGCCCCUGACGCUGAGGCGCGAAAGCCAGGGUAGCGAACGGGAUUAGAUACCCCGGUAGUCCUGGCCGUAAACGAUGGAUACUAGGUGUGGGAGGUAUCGACCCCUUCCGUGCCGUAGCCAACGCACUAAGUAUCCCGCCUGGGGAGUACGGCCGCAAGGCUGAA
RNAcentral lists this ribosomal RNA (377 nucleotides) under uncultured bacterium. Its description in RNAcentral is "bacterial SSU rRNA". It matches the Rfam family "Bacterial small subunit ribosomal RNA", at positions 523 to 898 of the family's 1533-position model. The record is from RNAcentral.